AUUUUUGUUUAUAUUUUCUUUUUAAAUAUUUCAACGAAGGGAAAACUCUCUAAAUUUUUGUAAUGCCUUCCAUAGUUUAUGCAACAUUAAAGGAAUGAUAUGGUACAUAAUAUGUUUAUUUAGUUUUUUUUUACACAUUUAAAUUAAAUAAAAAUAUAUUUGGUCAAAAAAUAGUGUGUGUGAAUGUCAAAUACAUGGUUAUCAAUAAAAUAAAAUCAAUUGGUUUUGUCAAAAAAAAAUAUCAAUUGGUUUGAAUUACUGCGAUUUUGUUUCUAAGAUCAAAUGUAUUGAUUGAUGAAUAUUAAUGUACAAUAUUAUUUUUUUCGUUAUUGUUUGCAUGAAUCAAACACUUGAUUAUUUUGUUUAUUUUAUGUCUUUGAUUAUAAAUAUCGAUUUUGACUCCCACACUUUUCACACCACUCUAUAUUCACAAUUCAUAUUAUUAAAAGUUUUUCUAUGAACUUCUAUUUUCUCUUUUUGUUACAAUGUCAAGUUUUUACACAUUUCUCUUAUUAAUUUCCAUGACUCAUAUAUUGUAAAGACUUAUUUGAUAUAUGUAAGAAUCAUGAGUUUCGGUAAUUCAUAUUAUUUAAAAAGUCUUUUCAAAGUUUGUUUUUCUUUUUUUUAACAAAUACAAUGUAGUUUUUCUUCUUCGGUAUAAAGUUGCGUUGUUGAAUAUUUUAUAAUUUUUUUGUUUGUUUUGGCUCUUUAACUUGCAGACAUAAUUCAUGAAUAAACAAUAUUCAGGAAGAUUGAAUUAUGGGAAGAAAGAAGGAGUAUAGUUGAGAUCCAAAGAGGGCAAAAGACAAACGUGCUUCUGUAUUCUUUUAAUCGGGACUUUUCCUUUGGCAUGAAAGAGAUUAUGAUGAAAGCAGCUAUACUACCAUUCCAGUUGUAAGAUAUAUAAUCAGAGUAAAACCUAUUUACUAGUUGACUACUUUACCUUAACUAUAGAGUAAAUAAUCGUAAUUAUUGUUUAUUAGGGUAUUAAAUUAUUUUGAUUUCUAUUGAUUUACAUUUAUUAAUGUAUAUCUUUUUCAUUAAUGUGCCUGUUUUUGUUUUUAGAGAAUUAAAUAUAUAUUAAUGAUGUAAUUGUAUUAUUAUCUUUUUUAAAUAAAGGAAAAUAUAUUAAAUAAAAGCGAGUAUAAAAGUUGGGAGUACAUUAGUAAACUAAUGUAACACUCAAGAACAUAGAAAAAUCAUACAAUUAUAGAAAUAUAAUACAACAAGAUUAUGAGGAAGAAUUGAAUGAUACCGAAAAUUAAAUUUAAGCAAUAAACCCAUUAAUUAUUUAAAUUCCAAUUUUAUUUUUUUCUAAAAAAAUUAUCUUCAAAAAAAUCAAAGUACAUCAUGUCUUUUAUUUUUUUUUUAUUACCUUAUGUCUUAUAGUAGGAUUUGAUUCUCUACAUUGAAAAUUCUGUCAAAUUUUCUCAAGUGUAUUCUUUAUCUUUAUUAUAUACAUUUGCGCUAUUUUUUUUAAAAGUACACGUGGCAACCUAUUAGUGAAAGGAUCAUUUAAUGUUAUCUCUCAUUUACACACAAGAUAUGAAAGAGUUUAUAAUAUAUAUAUAAAAAAAAAAAAAAAAAAAGAGGAAUUGAAAUUUGAUGAGUUAAGAGAAAAUGUUGUGUGCAAAAAGUCAUAAUUUGAGAGGAGUAUUUAAUGCAGCAAUGUUUUCUUUUAUGUACACAAUAAAUAUGAAAAGUUUAUAAUAGAAAUAACAAUCAAUCCAGAAGUCCUAGUUCAACUGGCAAAAAUGCCGAAAUUGUUAGGCCGGAUGCCAUGACCGGGGUUCGAACCCCGGUACCUCCACUUGUGUGUGUGAGUUUAUAAUGGCUUUGCCAUUUCGUCUAUCUACCAAAAAAAAAAAAAAAACAAUCAUAAUUUGGUGAAUUAACCUAAAAUGUUAUCUCUAUUUGAUAGGAGUAUUUAAUACACCAUGAUUUUAAUCAAAAGUUUACAUAUGAAAUUAGUUUGAUGCGCUUAAUUUAGGAGUUUAAUUUGCCAUAUGUGUUGCACGUAAUUGAUGGAAGGAAACAUGUAUUGCAUAUGCAUAGUGCAAAUAGGUCAACGGAAAACUUAUGAUUGGUAAGCUUUAAAAAAAACAAAAAAAAAAAAACAUUAAUAUAUUUUGCUUAAUAGUUAAGAUAUGAGUUCAAAUUUUUUUUAACCCCAAUUUGAACUUCCUUACUCCUUCGUUAGAGAUAUGAACAAGGACAAACUUCCUUACUCCUUGAAGAUGGUUCUAAUGGACAAUAAGGUUGUUUAACCCCAAUUUUUUGUUUUUUAUAUUUUUAUAUACGCUUUUAUAUUAGAUCGUUUUUUUUGUUCGUCUGUCUUUUGUAACAUACGACAACCCAUUCUCAUUUAAUGUUUUCUUAUCAUCCAAUCAAAUUGAAUUGAUUCAUUUAUUUUUUUAUUAGGCUAUCAAGAUGGACCAUGACUCAUUUAGUUUUCACCAACCAAUCAAAAUUGAUUACGCAAUGAUUUUAACACUUUAUUUUCAUUAUUUUCAUGUGUCUCUUUCCCCCAUAAAUUUUUUCGUAAAAACAAGUAUUUUAUGUGUUUUAAAAGCAUAUAAAGUUAAUCACUUGGUUGUCAAUUAUGGGGUUGAUUUUAUUUUUUAUUUGUAUCUAAUUGUUUAUUGUUAAUGCUACUUUAUCAGGGUUCCAUUGGAGAGCAUGUGUCUACGUUCUACGACUUCAAGAUGUUCAACAUCAACAAUAUAAUUUUUAGUCAAGGCAAUGUUUUGUAUUUGAUAUAGGAUCAAUAUGUUAGAGUUUAGAUAUCUUAGGUUAAUUUUUAAUGAAUUGAUAUUUCGAAAAGCUAAUCUCAAUAAAUUGAUUUUGCUUUUAUCUAUAUUUAUUUUAUGAAUAUUUGUCUUGCACAAUGGGUAUAUUACACAUGAAAUCUUAUUUGAUGAAUCUUAAUUGAUGCUUUUAAACACAUCUUCGGAC
This 2955-nucleotide long non-coding RNA is filed under the name Medicago truncatula (barrel medic). Its description in RNAcentral is "long non-coding RNA (MTRU_LNC006296)". Lineage: Eukaryota; Viridiplantae; Streptophyta; Magnoliopsida; Fabales; Fabaceae. The record is from RNAcentral.